This is a long non-coding RNA of Hypanus sabinus (Atlantic stingray), 930 nucleotides long. RefSeq lists it as uncharacterized. The record is from RefSeq and is a predicted model, not a curated record. The transcript is spliced from 3 exons. NCBI's taxonomy places the organism in Eukaryota, Metazoa, Chordata, Chondrichthyes, Myliobatiformes, Dasyatidae.
ACCAUCUGCAAUUGCGGAGAAAUCAAUCAUCUAUGGAUGUUUUAAUCAUUUCCAUAGAUGCUGCUGGAUCUGCUGAGUUCCUCCAGUAUUUUGUAUGUGCUGCCUCCAUUAUCUCUCUUUAAGUAAAAUGCACUCAGUGUCGUUUCUAUUAGGUACCUCCUGCAUCUAAUGAAGUGGUUAAUGAAUGCACGAUCGUGAUCUGCUGCUGUAACCCAUCAACUUCAAAGUUCAAGAUGCUAUGGACCACUCUUCUGAGACGUUCAUGCAAAAUAACGUUACUUACAGACUCCACAAGCUGUGAGAAGUUUUACUGCCAAAGGUGGAGCUGGACAAGGGUCAAAGAACGGUUCAACAAUGUAGCGUCCAAACGAUAAGCCUACAACAGCAGUGACUGAUGGUCUGUCAAAAGAAAAACAUCUGUUCUUUUGAAGACCCUGACCUGCAGUUACCCUCUGACCUUGGUUCUUUGUGGGAAUGGGGCCUGCUCUCAAGGCUUCACGACCAGCUGCAUUUCGAUAUCCCAAGGACACGGCCUGGAAGACUGGUGCGCCUUCAGGGUGCCAGAUUUUCAUGGCUCUGGAGAUGGGCUGAUUCUAGGCUGGUGCCCCUGACUGCGGUGUUGCGGGAGAACACGGAACAUCAGGAGCAGUGGGUUAGCUGCUGGCUGUGUGUCUGGAGACCUGAGCCUUUCCGGGGCUGGAUCUCUGGCCGCAGAGCUCGGUAAAAGUGACGCAACAGACUUUUAACACCAUAAAUCAGUGAGUUGCUUGUUACGUCUCCCCUCUCGCUGUGAAAUGGGGACACCUCUUUUUCCCUUAUUAGGGAGUGAGAGAGAGAGAGCCUGUGGUAUGUCGAAUACCGGGUGAACAAGUAGUCUUUGGGGCACUGCGAGUCUGUGUAUUUAUCGAUGCUUUGCUGCACGCUUGAGAG